Long non-coding RNA from Spinacia oleracea (spinach), 523 nucleotides. RefSeq lists it as uncharacterized. The transcript has 2 exons. Lineage: Eukaryota; Viridiplantae; Streptophyta; Magnoliopsida; Caryophyllales; Amaranthaceae. The record is from RefSeq and is a predicted model, not a curated record.
UAUAUUCCUCACAAGCUUAAUAUAUGAUUUAAUGUUUAUUUGAUCAACCCCUUUUCCUAUUUCUCAUCAUUAAUAUAGGUUUUCUUGUCUUGCCUUUAAUUUGAAUUUUCGAAUUGAAUUACAGGAGAUCUGAUUGAAUUUUGGUUAUUUUUAUGUUCUCUUUAAUCGUCAGACUCGCCGCCGUCAUGAUUGCCGCUCCACCAUCAUAUCUCCGACUCCUGUCUUGUUGCUGCCCCAACUAACACCGUUUUUAAGGUUUAAGGUUUAAGUCUAAUGCAGAGCAGCGAGAUAAAGUUCAUAGUUCAUCGUUUUUUUUUCCAGUUGCAGUCAAGUGAAAGAGCUAGGAAAUAUUUGAAGAGGCGAAGAACUUAUAAAGAAUUAUAGUAUGGGAAGUGGGAACAUCAAUUUAUUCAUUUUUUGUUUUUAAUUUCAGUUGUAAAUUAGAGUUACUUCGUAAUAUGUAUGUUUGUGUAUUUGAACUUUAUUGUAAUAUUAACACAUAUAUACAAGAAGUUUUUGGAAA